UACUGUGAGAGAAAGUUAGUGAAGGAA
RNAcentral lists this ribosomal RNA (27 nucleotides) under Babesia vogeli. RNAcentral describes it as "partial large subunit ribosomal RNA LSU5". The record is from RNAcentral. Lineage: Eukaryota; Apicomplexa; Aconoidasida; Piroplasmida; Babesiidae.